This 3888-nucleotide long non-coding RNA is filed under the name Homo sapiens (human). RNAcentral's name for it is "HSALNT0300787". The record is from RNAcentral. Lineage: Eukaryota; Metazoa; Chordata; Mammalia; Primates; Hominidae.
CUUAGGACUACUCUGUGGGUCAGGAAUUCAGGAAGGCUUCAUUGGGUGAUUUGUCUUUGACCUAUGUGGUAAUAACUGGGAUGGCUGGGGCCAGAGGAUCCGCUUAGAAGAUAGCUUCUUCACUCAUACCCAUAGCCCCUCAGUGUUCUGUGGCCUCUCUCUCUUUACCUGGCAUCCUUAGGUUGCCUGCAGGUGGCUUGAGUUUCUCUCAGUGUGGUGGUUUCAGGGCAGUCAAUUUGCUUACAUGGAAGCUGACUUUCUCAGUGGGACCAUUUCAAGAGUGAUUGUUCUAAGAGAUCAAGGCAGAAGUUUCAAGGCUUUAUAUGAACUGGCUUCAGAAAUCACAUAGUAUCAUUUCUGGUACACUCUGUUGGUUACACAGGGUCAACUCAAAUUCACUAUGGGAAGGGAUGACAAAAGGAAGAGAGUACAGGGAGGCAUGGUUCAUUGGAAGUUAUUUUGGAGAUCAGCUAUCAUAGCAAUUGAUUGCCCACGAUUUUCUGUUUUUUGUUUUUUUUCCUUAAAUCUCCUGACCUACUGAAAUUUGCCAGGUUAAAAUCUCAGAGCUUACUGACCCUGGGAAAUGCUAUCCAAAGAGAUCAUGUAGAGCUGGUAUCAGAGGAUUUUUCAAGGUUAUUUUAGGAGCUGGUGCAUCCUGACAUUCAAAGAAUACACACAUUUCUUUUCACUAAGUUCUCAUAUAAAUGCCAUGACAGGCAGUGAGAUAGACUUAGAGUAUUCCUGGCCUCAGGAGGUGGGACUUCCAUGAGGAACUGCUAUCUUAACCUCUAUCCUGUUCACUGCCUCUCCACAAAGGAGAAAGGGUCUAAGAUUUUAAAUAUGUGCCAGGCACACACUUAGCACAUACAUACAUGUUAGUGGUGAAUCCUCCCAAAGACCGGUGAGAUAGACUGUAUUAUACUCAUUUCAUAAUUGAAGAACCUCUGGUUCUGCUAAGCCACUAGCCUGAUGUCACACAGCAGGUAAGUGGCAACCCUGAGCUUUAAACCUAAAUCUUCUGGUUUUAAAGCACAUUGUUCUUCUACAGCACAAGAAACUGAACUGAUGUAGCAUUAUUCUGUACUUUAUUAAGGUUCAAAUUUCACUGAGCAUAUAACUGUAUACUAACUACUGUCGAAAUAUAUUUUGAAUUAGAAAUGUACAUACCUGUAAGUCUCAAAAAAAUUCUAUCAGCUUUGGCCUGGGCUCUCCAGAGUGCUCUUGGAGAUGUGCAACACUUUCCAAUUAGCAUUCUCUUUGGCCUGAUGGAUGAGGAGAAUGGGGAUGGUCAGCUAUCUCUUUUAUCCAAAUAUGAGGUCCCCAGUGUUAGAGGUCUCACUCUGGCUUUCAGUGGGGCAAAUGUUCAUGAGCACACUACCGUUGAGCAUGGCUUGCUUAGUGAGCCCAUAGGAAAUCAGGAAAUUCACAAUGAUAAAGAAUGAUGGAAUAACUGAGAUGCAUGGUAUUUUUCUUAGACCUCUUAAGAGACUGGCAACAAAUUGGGGCUUGAUGGAAAUUAAUUUACAUGAGUCAAGAAAAACCAGAGGACAGGUAGUAGGAUUGAUAAUGUCAAAGUAGGAGGAGAAGAGGAAGAAUCAUAUAUUAAAGGAGAGGUGAGAAAUGGCCAUACAUUGCAAUUGGCUCAAGGCAGAGAAAAGUUAAUUCUACACUUUAUAAUAGCACUACCAAUUAUUCACUGUCGGUACUAAGAAAUAUUUGUCAGCUCUCAACUUGUAAGUGGAGAUAAAUCUUACAUGUUCAGUUGUGUCAGGUUAUCAUCUGGUCUACACUAAUUGAAUUUGUAAUAGACCAGCCUGAGUCCUGACUCUCCACAAAGCUUCUCCUGACUACUCCCUCACGUGCUGAUUCAUGAACUUACGUCGUUACCCUACGGAGCUUUAUCUGAUUAAUUCACUAGAUUAUGAGUCUUGAGGCAACAGUUCUUUCACUAUACUUUUCCACCUCCCUACCCUUGCUCAACAUGUACACAUACACACUCACAUGCUCAUACACACACACUCACACACACAUUCACACUCACACAAUAUACUCACACACUCACACACCACACACUCACAGGCACAUACCCUUUUCUUCCAGCACAGGCCUAAAUCCUUAGGAAGCACAUAAUAAACACUGGAUGAAAGAACUGGGUUCCACACACUCAAAAACAUUUAAUGCAGAACAAUGCAUAGCCGUUAACUAAUUCAUCGAUGAUGCCAGUCUAAUUUCAGGUGUUAUUGCUAGGCCUGUUAAGCUUGGCCAGUUAGCUAUCAGCUCUGUUGAUGUUUGUAGCUUCUCUUAGAUGAACAUUUCCCAGAGUGAUUGCUCCGGAAUGUUACUUUGGAAUGUUCACACAUUAUAUGCAGUGUUGGGAGAUCUACAGUUCAUACUAGUAUAUUAAAUGCCCUGAGAAGACCUGCAGGAAAGGAAGCCAUUGUCUGAGUGAACAUUUUCCAAAUUAAUUUAUUUGACCAUAGGUUAUCUCUUAAGACAGCAGCACCUAUUUAUUUUCCAGGAAAGUAGUGUUUCCUGAAAUACAUUUCAGGAAAUCAUGGCCCACAAACCCCUGCUUUGAUUCUUUAUCUUCCUUGUUCUUGUGCUUGGUACUAUCUACCUCCCUGUGCCUCAGGCCCAGGGCUUACCUUCUUGCUUCUGAGUGGAUAGAAGCUCUGAGAACCUACAGAAAGAUGCCCCUUUAGGCUAACUUAGCAUUGUUUCAGGCUAGGAGGGGCCCCAGAAAUACCAUGUCCAAUCUUUCAUUUCAGAAACGAGGACAUAGAUGCAGAUGAGGAGAAGUCCAUUGAACACACUCAAGUUAGAACUGCAACUAAAACCCAGGCCUCUAAGUUCCAAAGAAAGAACAUUUCUCCCCUUCUAUUUUUCCUCCAUUCAUAGCGAAGCAGUUUCCUAGAGAGCCAGCAUUUGGGCCCUGCUGGCUUCAUUGAAAGUAGGCAGGCUCAAAAGCUGGAUAUAAUUAGUGAUUUUGAGGAGUUCAAUGCAUGUCCUGGAAAUGGAGAAGAUUGGCAACUGGAGCCCAUACUUUGGCAGAGGCUGAAUGCUGCUUCUAAAACUCCUGGAACAAUAUAGUGCAUUAGCUGGUCCGCCUCCACCUUGAAAUAAAGGCUUCUGGCUCCCAUGGGCUGGGCAAGGCAGAAAGGGAACAACUUGAUUUUCAAAUAAAGACCUUCUUUGAAAAAUUUCCCAGGGGACAUGAUUUGUGGGAUCAUAGCCCAGUGCACUUCUUCCACCAGACACCCUGGUUUUGGAAUAAGGGCACUGAGGCCUAGAGAGGCUUAUAUUAUUGAGGGUUAGGAAUACAUUUUGAGGCUCCCUCUCUUCAGACUGAUUGUGGAGCAUAACAUGGUCUUAUCUGCUAAUACCUACUCCCUUCUUUAUUAUAACCCCAGUUAAACUCAUAGGCUGUUUUUAUUAUAAGCAAAAUAAGUAAGUAAGGUGAAGUAGAAAAGCUCUGCCUGUCAUGAUGUCCCUGGUUUAUAGCUCCUAAUUCCCUCACCAAGGUCACAGAAACCUUGAUCUUAUGAUCUCAGCUUUUAAGACUGAAAAUGGUGCUCACCAAAACCUGCCUCAUCAUCCAGUUUUAGUAAAACUAGGAUGACCCCCCUGCAACAGAGACAGAGAUGCAGCUACCUCUCCGUCUCACGUGAAUAUUUUGCAUCUUUUGGUUGUUCAGAUCUACCGAUACUCAGUUAAGUGGGCCUUUGGGCUACUUAGUGAUAAUCCUCUCUUAACAUUUUCUUAUAAAAUACCUCUUUUUUUCUCUAUUUUUGGUAUUAUUUUCAAAAACAUAUCCUGAACUUAAUUUCUUAGUGGUUCCAUCCCCUUGAGUUCUAUUUCCUUUUAAAGUUUCUGGUAGACAGAGUCCGA